UGGGGCGUAGACAAAUGGCUAAGUCACGGGGUUUUGGUCUCCGCAUUUGGGGGUUCGAGUCCUCCCGCCCCAGCCA
RNAcentral lists this transfer RNA (76 nucleotides) under Nitrospirota bacterium. Its description in RNAcentral is "Nitrospirae bacterium (marine sediment metagenome) tRNA-Gln". It matches the Rfam family "tRNA". Rfam says of the family: Transfer RNA (tRNA) molecules are approximately 80 nucleotides in length. Their secondary structure includes four short double-helical elements and three loops (D, anti-codon, and T loops). Lineage: Bacteria; Pseudomonadati; Nitrospirota. The record is from RNAcentral.